RNAcentral lists this ribosomal RNA (231 nucleotides) under Triticum aestivum (bread wheat). RNAcentral's name for it is "partial small subunit ribosomal RNA". Lineage: Eukaryota; Viridiplantae; Streptophyta; Magnoliopsida; Poales; Poaceae. The record is from RNAcentral.
AUGUCGUACAACCCUACGGAUGUGGUGUGCUGGAAUGUGAGGGGUUUGAAUAGCCCGGUUAAAAAGAAGGCCUUGAGAGAGUUUGUAGAUUCCUUGCGUGUGGCGAUCGUUUGUAUUGUGGAAUCUAAACUGGAUCAUGUUGACCAGUAUAUCAUCUUGCAAUGUUUAGGACCAUCUUACGAUGGAUUUGCGUACCUCCCGUCAUCCGAGACUAGAGGCGGGAUCUUAGUG